This 870-nucleotide small RNA is filed under the name uncultured Acidimicrobiales bacterium. Its description in RNAcentral is "bacterial SSU rRNA". The stretch from base 1 to 492 matches the Rfam family "Bacterial small subunit ribosomal RNA", at positions 1045 to 1533 of the family's 1533-position model. Lineage: Bacteria; Bacillati; Actinomycetota; Acidimicrobiia; Acidimicrobiales. The record is from RNAcentral.
AUGGCUGUCGUCAGCUCGUGUCGUGAGAUGUUGGGUUAAGUCCCGCAACGAGCGCAACCCUUAUCCUAUGUUGCCAGCGCGUAAUGGCGGGGACUCGUAGGAGACUGCCGGGGUCAACUCGGAGGAAGGUGGGGACGACGUCAAGUCAUCAUGCCCCUUAUAUCUAGGGCUGCAAACAUGCUACAAUGGCCAGUACAAAGGGCUGCUAUACCGCGAGGUUGAGCGAAUCCCAUAAAGCUGGUCUCAGUUCGGAUUGGAGUCUGCAACUCGACUCCAUGAAGUCGGAGUCGCUAGUAAUCCCGGAUCAGCAACGCCGGGGUGAAUACGUUCCCGGGCCUUGUACACACCGCCCGUCACACCACGAAAGUCGGCAACACCCGAAGUCAGUGGCCCAACCCGCAAGGGAGGGAGCUGCCGAAGGUGGGGUCGGCGAUUGGGGUGAAGUCGUAACAAGGUAGCCGUACCGGAAGGUGCGGCUGGAUCACCUCCUUUCUAAGGAGUCACCUGUCUCCCUCUCACGGGGGGACGACUCCCAAGUUGAUGCACUAGCUAUUCGCCCACGAACCCACUGGCCUGGUGGUAGAUGUACUUCUCCCGGGCCGGCCAGGGGAACUGGUCGUCGUCCUCUGUUCCGUUUUGAGGGAGUGCCCUCGGAGCCCCAGUGUUCGCACUGGGGCUUCGCCGUGUCCCCGCACAUGCCCCUUGAGAAUUGCAUAGCGAGCACGAGCAUCUUUGUUCUUCCAAGCUACAAAGUGCCAACGGUGGAUGCCUUGGCGUCUACUACCGAAGAAGGACGUGGGUGGCUGCGAAAAGCCACGGGGAGCUGCCGACCAAGCUUUGAUCCGUGGAUGUCCGAAUGGGGAAACCCGG